UGGGAGCUCUCCUCCACCUUUGACUGCACACACUGGCUGGCUCCAUGGCAAGCCCGUCUCUCGGAGGUGGGUGCACAUUUUCUGCUGAAAGCUUUCCUCAUUCGUUCAGCACUUCUGACACCAUGUCGUGCUGCUAAUCGGGCUUAAUGAAGCUGCAUCUUUGUCAAGGAGAGAGGAAUUGAAAUCAAAUGCAAGGAGUUGGUCUGCUCUGGUAUAGAAAGUCUGCUUUGCCUGCCUAGACAGACCCCUCCUUCUCCUCCAUUCCGGCCCGGUUUUAUACUCUUAUAUAACGGUGAAACAAGUGAGGCUGGUGUAGACCCACCACAAAUCUGUGGUGGUCCUGAUGAGAAGUGUAGUGAGAGGCAAAAGGUUAAAGCCCCCUCCCCGCCACGCAUUAGUGUCCUGGCCUGGAUCAGGCUCCCUGUCCUGGGCAAUUUAUGUCACUCCCCACCUAUUAAAGGCACAGGUGCAUCAAUGACAUGCCAUAUUGGCCCUCAGUUCACCUAGAGCGCAAUCAUCCGAGGAGCAUCGUCAGAUGUAAUUUCCACAAAACCAAACGAAGCCUAUUCCCAAGUCAGCUUGCGGAGGAUUCCUUGGAAAUGUGGCCAGCCAACCCCACUGAGGGCAGGGGGGCUGGACUUGUGCCCCUAAGUCCUGCCCUGGUGGCAAGGCUGUAAGCAGCAGACGGCCAAGCCUGAGCCCCCUUCCCCUCCCCCAUGCCCCUGAAAAGAGAGCUCGGCUCAGUCCUCCUGAUGCCAUCAGAGGCUGCGUCUAAUUAGUGGUUUUUCUGCGGCUGCCUGAGAGUGCUCUGUGGCUUCGUUCCUAGAGUGAUUUGACGGCCUCUCGGAGGCUCUCGGGCCCAUUAAGGCGGAGGUCUUGGGGUGGCUAAUGGGGAAUUGGUUGGUGCCUCUCCUGAUACUUUGGCGGCAGCCAGGGGUGAGGGGUGGCAUGCUGUUUUACAGUAUCUUGGGUUUUCCGUUUGAGAAUCCAUCUCCAGCCGCAGUGGCGUGGCUGGCUCUUGGGACUGGGCUUGCUGCUGCCCCUUAGUUUCCACCUGAGCAGGACCACUUCAGAAAUGCAGACCCCCGACCUGUGCCGGUUGCAUCUUGGUCUGGGGCACGAUGGAGGAGUCCAGCAGGGUCUAACCAGGAAUAGUUUGCAAAGGACAGCAGCAAUCUCUUUCUCUAGAGGGCCACAGGGAAUGAAAGUGGGGGCAGGAGGAGGAGGGUAUGUGGGGGUGGGCAGAGAUAGCUCAAGCUUUGCAAACAGAAGGGGCCCAGGUUCAAUCCCCACCCCCCUAGGGGACUCUUGCCAGUCAGGGGGGAUGAUACCAAGCUGGCUGGGGAAAUGGGAUGACCUGGUGAAAGGCAGCUUCUGGGGGUUCAGGGGAGAAGAAGAAGAGUUUGGAUUUGAUAUCCCACUUUAUCAUUGCCCUAAGGAGUCUCAAAGUGGCUAACAUUCUCCUUUCCCUUCCUCCCCCACAACAAACACUCUGUGAGGUGAGUGAGGCUGAGAGACUUCAGAGAAGUGUGACUGGCCCAAGGUCACCCAGCAGCUGCAUAUGGAGGAGCGGAGACGCGAACCCGGUUCACCAGAUUACGAGUCCACCGCUCUUAACCACUACACCACACUGGCUUCAACACUCAGGAGAAUGGCCUACUGUGCCUGUGAAAGGUCCCAGGCUCAGGACCCAGGCUUUUGCCAUCCCAGCAGCCUCCUGAUACUCGAAACUCCAACUCCCACAACUGUUUUGGACUCCCAUCAAAGUUCAAAACAUCUGGGGGGCACCAGAUUGGUGAAAACUGAGCUAGAAGGAUGCUGAGGAGGGCAGCAUCUGAAAAUGGUCCAGAAGCUGCUGGAUGCUAGGAGGUGGCACAACAGCUUGGAAGCUGAGCUGAGCACUGAAUCGCCGUGGGAGGAGCACAUGGAUGUCACCACAACCAUGACUCUGAGUUAGGAAAGGAAGAAAGCUAUAUGUUGACGAAGAAUAUCAGAACAUGAGUUUGUUCAACCCUCUUUUAAAGCCAUCCAAGUUGGCGGCCAUCACUGCCUCUUUGGAAGUGAGCUUCAUAGUUUAACUAUGCUUGAGAGGAAAGAUACUGGCUCUGUCUAACUAAGGUGGAGAGGCCCCUUUCAUCUCUGCAGGAUGUAAUCCACUGGGAGCAGUCAAAGACAACAUUCCUUGUUUUCCUAGAGUGAACAUGCAAGGGGAUGUUGGUCCAGCCAGUUGAACUUCCUGUUCCUCCUGGCCUGGAGCAUCCUUCCUUGCAUGUGAUUAGUGGGUGGGCGUGACAUUUCCAGACCUGGUAAAAGGCCCAGGCAUGCUGCCACUCUCUCCCUUUUCCAUCUUCCUUUUGUCCUGCAAACUUCCUGGGCUGAACUGCUGGCUGCCAGGUCACCUCCCUUAUGGGGUAAACCUGUUUGUAUAUUGUCAGGGGUUCAGGAGCAGAGGCAAGGGCAAGGGAGGAAACAGAGAGCGAGGGGGAGGAGGCAGAAGAAAAGAUGAGUGAUGACGACGACCCGAGAUCUCCGAGUCUUUCCAGUGAAUCAGAAGAUUCACAGAAAGGAGCACCAGUGGCCAGGGCAAGGGGGAGCCUAGGGGACGCCCCAGGAAGAUAGAGCCAGAGGGGACUCAGAGGGGAGCAGUUGGAAAUCGGGACCAGCGUCACCGCCAGAGAGCAGGGAAGAGGAAGGGAGCCAGGGAUCAAGCGCUGGCAGCUCACAACAGGGGGGAGGGCACGAGUCAGGAGUGGCCACACCUCCAUCGGGGAGCGAAGAAACGGUCAGACGGAAGGUGGAAGGUUGGGCGCGCGCGCCAAGUUCAAAUGCACAGGAAGGUGGCACAGUAGGCAGCCCGGAAAGGGAGCCAGGUCCUAAAGCCCGCCGAAAGGAGGGAGAAGAGUCAGGGGGGGGAACGUCAGCGUCAGAAGAAUCCCGGAAAGAAGAGACCCCAGGGGGCAGAGGGACCCAGAGAAGAACAGUCAGGCGGAAAAGGUGGAGCAGGGCUAGGAUAUUAAGUUGGUGUACAAGGGGCGGAGACUCAGACGGAGCUUCGCCGAUCUAACCCCUAGACGUAGAGCUGGGGCGCUGCGGCUUGAAAAUGGAAACUGUACUUCAAUAAAGACUUUUGUACAUUACUGCCGGCUAGCGUUGGUCCUCUGUGAGCUGGGACCUGGAGCCAGCUCUGACAUAUAUGUUUGUA
This 3202-nucleotide long non-coding RNA is filed under the name Podarcis lilfordi (Lilford's wall lizard). The record is from RNAcentral. Lineage: Eukaryota; Metazoa; Chordata; Lepidosauria; Squamata; Lacertidae.